This is a long non-coding RNA of Physeter macrocephalus (sperm whale), 790 nucleotides long. RefSeq lists it as uncharacterized. Lineage: Eukaryota; Metazoa; Chordata; Mammalia; Artiodactyla; Physeteridae. The record is from RefSeq and is a predicted model, not a curated record. The transcript is spliced from 4 exons.
UUGAGCUCGCGUCACUUCCGGGAGGAAGCGUAGUCCUCCGGCCCGGGCUCGGGGAAGGUUUACGACCCUCACGGCCCGGCUUCUGCAACUUUCCACCUACUAAGCGAUUUCUGGACCGGACGGUGGCGAGUGCUUCGUGUUUACCCUCAUGAUGCAGCCCUGUCCUCAUGCAGUUUACAGUCUGGUGGAAGGAUGUGGUCAGUCUGCAAUCAUUGAUUCGUUUGAAGGAAGUAAACCGGUAUUAAUGUCAUCACUGUGCCAGGCAACUCUGGCUAACUUCAAUGGAAAAGGAAUUUUGGGGUGGAAUAUCAAGGUAAACACAGUACUUACAGGAAGGCUGGAAGACCAGGCUCAGGGAAAGAACCAGAAACCAGGAAGACCAACAGGAAGCCCAGGUCCACAAGCCCUGUCUGGUUAUGAAUCACCACUGUUUACAUAGUGGUGCCAGGGAACAUAUAAAGCGCAGUGGUUGAGAAUCUGCCUGCCAAUGCAGAGGAUGAGGUUUCGAUCCCUGGUCCCGGAAGAUCCCACAUGCUGUGGAGCAACUAAGCCCAUGCACCACAACUACCAAGCCUGUGCUCUAGAGCCUGCGAGCCACAACUACUGAGCCUGCACACCACAACUACUGAAGCCCGUAGAGCCCAUGCUCCACAACAAGAGAAGCCACCGCAAUGAAAAGCCCGUGCACUGCAAUGAAGAGAAGCCCCUGCUUGCUGCAACUAGAGAAAGCCUGUGUGCAGCAACGAAAACCCAACGCAGCCAAAAAUAAAAAUAAAUAAAAUAAAAUAAA